This 2460-nucleotide non-coding RNA is filed under the name Pongo abelii (Sumatran orangutan). Lineage: Eukaryota; Metazoa; Chordata; Mammalia; Primates; Hominidae. The record is from RNAcentral.
AAAAUGGCGACACGUGGUUAGCAUUCGUCGCCAACGAGAAAUUGGGGUCGGCCCGAAAGCUCUAGAAUGCACCCCUAUUCCUCCCCGGGGCCAUUCCCGCUCAACGAGUUUUAUGACCUAAAAAACCCCACAGGCUGGUCUGAAGGUCGGAGGCCUAAUUUUAACGCGUUUUCCUCCCUUUAAUUUGAAACGGGAACGCGAAUAACUAAAAUAGGAAGACACUUAAAGAUGAAGUGCUUAAUUCAAGGUCACAGAAUGUCGGGGAUGGACCUCCAGAUUUCCUUACUGGUGAGACGUGGUCUUGUAACACAGUGGUUAAGAAUGUGACUUUGGAGCCAGCCUGCUAGGGGCUGAAUUCUGACUCAGCCAUUUAUUAACUGUGUGACCUUAGGGAGGAGGACCUGGUUGAUAGAAGAAUUUAUCUCAUAGUCUUAACAUCCACUGUAAUUCCGAACUUUGAGGACGAUAGAGAUCAGUGGGCUUUGACUGCCCAGCAUGCAGUCUCCAUUCUUAGGUAGGUUCCCAAGCCUGUAAAAUGUAAGUCUUAUGUUGCUGAGGGCCAUCUUGCCACCCCGAGGGGAACGCUGCCUGAGAAUGAAACCAGCAUAAGUAAAAGCUGAGCUGUGAGAUGGAGUGAGAUGAAGGCCACAUGACAUCUUUGGAGCACCUGGAUCUAACUGUGCCUUAAGCUAGUCUAACCCUGAACAUUUCAUUGACAUGGGCCCAGGUUUUCCCUUUUUUUUUUUUUUUUUUUUGGAUGGAGUCUCACUCUGUCGCCCAGGCUGGAGUGCAGUGGUGCAAUCUCGGCUCACUGCAAGCUCCGCCUCCCGGGUUCACGCCAUUCUCCUGCCUUAGCCUCCCAAGUAGCUGGGACUACAGGCUCCCGCCACCACUCCCGGCUAAUUUUUUGUAUUUUUAGUAGAGACGGGGUUUCACCGUGUUAGCCGGGAUGGUCUUGAUCUCCUGACCUCAUGAUCCGCCCGCCUCGGCCUCCCAAAGUGCUGGGAUUACAGGCGUGAGCCACUGCGCCCAGCCCUCAGGUUUUCCCUUUUUUUACCCCUCCUUUUGAAAAUUUGAUUUGGAAUUUUGCCACCUGCAGCCAGAAGAGUUUUAACUAAUCAGUGCCAUAAAUUUUAUAUAGUUCUCCUUACAAAAUGUGCAUCAGCCUUUCUCAACAAAUCCUUUGUCUUAAAGUGCUGAAUUGUAAGUUUGUCAUGAGAAUCACAUGAGAUUAUGCAUGUGAAGAACCUGGCAUUAUCCUCCUCGUAGAAAAAAAACAGUAAAUAUUAACUACAGGAAGCAAGGAAGGAGGGGGGUGAGGGGAAGAAGAAGGGGUACUGAUUUAAAAGAACCCUGGAGUCCUUAGGAUAAUCUAGGAACCCUCAGACCCAAUCCAAUACCCCUAUUCUAAAUGCUCCUAGUGCCCUGUACCUUCCCCUCAUAACCCUUCAUUAUGAUUGUAAUGAUAUGGUUAUGUAAUAUUUUGAUUAAUGUCUCUCUCCUUCACUGACCUAGCAGUUCUAGCAGGGCAGUGAUUUUGCUCAGUGUUGCAUCCCCAGCACCUAGUCUGGUAUGUCGCAUUCAGCAUACGUUUAUUGAAUGAAUGGCCAUGUGGUUACUCGGAUCCUCCUUGAUUAUUGGGGUUAGGAUUGUGGCAGAAGUGGCAAAAUCAGGGAGAGUAGUCCCUGUCCCCUCUGUAUCUUAUACACUGCCCACACUCCCAACAUACAUACACAUACAGAGAAUUUUGUCUCAAUUAGGUAAUUAACUUCUGCUUGGUUGUAAACCAAACCACUGGUUCUUAAACUUUCAUUGGAUAAUUUUAUUGGAGAAUUAAAUAGUGUGGUUCUGGCCUAAUGUCUGGAAAGCCUUGCAGAGGAGUGGGUUAGGUCUUUGUGAUAAACAGGCAGCCUUCCCUGCUCCUGUGUCUUUAUAAAAUCUCCUAUUUAACUGGAGUAGUCCACCCUCCCUCAGGCUCUUAUAGGAAUGUGUUGGAGGCUGUAGGAAGGUGGGAAACUGAGAGGGAAAGGACUGGGCCGCUGGAGACUUCACUCACUCCCUAGCAAGAAACAAAAGCAGUAAAAGGUGGCCCGAGGACAACCUGAAGCUCACUCCUUCAGCACUUUUGGCUGGAGCUCUCUUGUUGGAGCCGCACUCAGAGCUCAGCACACCACCCCACCAGCAGCCUCCUCCUCCCAGCUGAGGCUGCAUUUCAUCCCUUCCCCCAGCCUGCUUUCCCUGAGAUAGGGGAGUGUUUCCCAGGGCCCAUGUGACUUCCACUGGCAAGUGACGAUUACCAAUGGUUUACUAGUCAGUAAAACUACCAAAGGCUUUUGUGCUGUAGUAAUCCUUUUCCUGUUUAAAACUCUGGGGAUUUUCUAAUGUUGCCAAUAGUUUUUCAAGUCAGCAAUUACUGUGUGGAUUAUGUAAUGGCUAGGUAUUAAAAAUAGAAAAGAUUGG